This 971-nucleotide long non-coding RNA is filed under the name Triticum aestivum (bread wheat). RNAcentral describes it as "long non-coding RNA (TAES_LNC016488)". The record is from RNAcentral. Lineage: Eukaryota; Viridiplantae; Streptophyta; Magnoliopsida; Poales; Poaceae.
GAAAAUAGAGUCAGGUGCAACCUUUAUACACCACUGUCUAGUAUGAGUUAAUGGGGAAAGGAGUAAUGGAAGCAAUGAGCAUAUAAAUUCUGAAAUCAUCCUCGACAACAUCGUGUGUGGAAAAUUUUACAAAGGAAAAGGGCAAUCUCUUCUUUUAUCAUACCAGGGGUACAUCAAAUAAUUUUCAUUUGCAGACAAUAGAAAAAGCCUUAACUCAACUGAAAGAUGGGCAAUCUAGAAAUACUGAUGAACAUCAGCUCUAUUGACUCGUGUAGUCCAGGGAUCGCAAAAGUAGCUAAUUCAAUAUCCAGACUCUGAGUGUGCAAUUAACAAUUGUAGAGUUGACAAGGACAUAAAUCCUAUAGUAAAGAUAUUGAUAUCAAAUAAAUAAAUGAACUGGGAAUGAAGAAAUCAGAGAAGGGGGACCUCACUGUCCAUGGCUAAGCAAAACAAACUUACAUGUAAAGAUGUGGCAUAGGUGUGCAUGUCUCACCGAGCGAGAUCCCUGUGGGUUGCACAUAAUGAUGCAAGAGUAGUCUGUCUCCAGGAAACUUCAAAGCUACAUGACCACACCAAAGUUGAAAUCAAAAAUAGUUAUGUACAACAGUACAAGAUGAUUCUAUCACUGGCAACCAAUUAUUCUAGGGUUUAAUUAGUUCUCAGCUUACCUAAUUAGUUUGGUCUGCCAAGCAUUUUGUUCCUACUACAGUCUUCAAGUAUAUCGUGUAACCAAGUUAUUCAUUGGUACUAAAGAAAGAACAACCUGUAUAAAUUAUCUGAGCAAAGUAGAAAAGAUAAAAAAAUAGUAAAAAGCAAUAAAUCACAAUCACCGUCUCAAUCAGCAAUAUAAACAGUUCUACCAUGAUUCUACCAUUUUCAUCUCAAUCCUUCUCUAGAGCUAUUUCCCCCCAAAUCUUUUUUGGCCAACAGUCUGUAGGAACAUAGUGGAACUUCCCAAAUCUUCUUUGGCC